Molecule: long non-coding RNA, 1084 nt
Organism: Cercocebus atys (sooty mangabey)
Lineage: Eukaryota; Metazoa; Chordata; Mammalia; Primates; Cercopithecidae
Exons: 2
Source: RefSeq, a predicted model, not a curated record
GGCAGCCCUCGCCAGGCACCUCCAGGGCUUCUCCGCCUCCCCGGCGCGCCCUACACCUGACGGCCGAGUUCUAAGCCGGGCCGAAAGGGCUGCAUUCCUUGUGGUAUCCAAUCCAGCCUCUCCUGGUUCCUGAGUUGUCUCCAGUGAUGCAAAAUCAGAUAAGGAAACACACCUCGUCUAGGAAGCAAGGGGAAAUAUGACAAAGCACACAGAAGCUAGAAAUAAAAGUCAAAAUCUACACCAUCGAACCCAAUAACCUUCUUCAGUUUUGAUUAAUGAUGGAUCCAAACCAAAACAGUUGUCACGUUCACAUGUUAGAAACGAAACCCAUCUGCAUCACUUAUGAUAGGCAGUAGUAAACUGAACCAAAUGAGAAAAAUCCCAGCAGCAAACUUGUUGACAAAACUUUAGCCGAUUGCCACGGUAGUCUGGUACAGGAACGUCAAAUGAAACCAAUGUGCUGUAAAUAAACCUUUAUUGUAUUUUAUGAUACGGUUUGAAUUUAAAUCCCUAGGAAGCUCCACGAAACAAAAAACAUAUUGAUGCUAAUGCUGUGGAGCAGCACAGUUUGUCUAGAAAAUAAAUGAGACGAAACAGCAGUCUAGAUGUAGGCACCAAGUCCAAGUUUUCAUGUGGGAUCCACGUAUCAGAGUCCAUCCAGGAACAUCCUGCUGGAAUCGCUAGCCUGGCAUUCACAGAAGAUCGUGCCACCCAGAAGGAAUGUGUCUUCAGCCAUGUGGUUCCUUGGAGUGAGAGGUGAAGCCAGCCAUACUUCUGGGUCCGGUGGGGACUUAGAGAACUUUUCUGUCUUACAAGAGGAUUGUGAAAUGCACCAAUCAGCAUUCUGUAGCUAGCUAGAGUUUUGUAAAAUGCACCAAUCAGUGGUCUGUAGCUAGCUAUAGGUUUGUAAAAUGGACCAAUCAGCACUCUGUAAAGUGGACCAAUCAGCAGGACAUGGGUGGGGACAAAUAAGGGAAUUAAAAACUGUCCACCCCAGCCUGCAGGGGCCGCCUGCUUGGGUUCCUUUCUAAGUUGUGGAAGCUUUGUUCUUUUGCUCUUCACAAUAAAUUUUGCUGCUGCUCAC